UUUUAGAAAUACAUGUACUAUGUGCAAGAAUUUAAAUUCUUAUUAUUAUUUUAAGUCUGUCUCGAUAAUGAUGAAUAUCUGAAAAUGUGCUUUGAUGACAAUGGCAUUAACAAGUGUAUAUCAGGAAAAGAGGGAAAAGGCCUGUUAAAGACCCCCAUUGUCGAAAAACUCAGAUGUUCGUGAUGGUUGUUUUGCUUGAAAAAUACCUGACCAACUGAUAAUGACAAACCUGUAUUGAUUAAUUACCUGUGAACUGAUCAAUUUAUUGAGUGAUUGCUUCAGCGCUAACACUUUGAGCUGCUGAUAUAGAGGUCUCACUGGUAUGUGAGAUGAAUGGACCUUCUCACUGAGCCCCUGCAGUCCCAGUUUCCACUGUUUCCUUCUUUGAUUCUUUCCAGAAACCGGACAGAGCAACAAUGCAUAUUUUUACUUUUCUGAAGUGGUUUUGGAGGCGGGGCCCUGCAGAGAGGCUUGUUUGCUUUGUGCUUCCAGGGGUUGCCAGGGGUCUGCGCCUGGACUGCUGCCACUGUGGAGCUGAAGACCCCUGAGCUGACGAGUCAGCCGGGGGAGAAAAAAAAGAAAGUGUUGUGCAGCAGUGGCGACCAGCUCACAGCGAAGGCAAACGCAGCCGGACAAAAGGGUUUGAAAUACAUUCUGGCAUCUUAGUGAGUCGGCUCUAAAAAAAAAAAAAAUGUAAAAAUAAAAAACUCUGGAGCUGCUUUGAAAUCUGUCGAACAUUCAGUUCAACGAAGAAAAAUGUUCUUUGUUUGGACCAGACUUUAGAUCAAACAAAAAGAAUUCUAGGAUAUAAGAGCCUUCGAAAAAUCACUCUUGACCAACAGCUAUUGAUUUCAUUUAUCAGGAGUAUUGAUAAGGACUAACCGAUGACUUACGCUCAUCAGCCAGUCCUCGUCUUUACCGGCACAAUGCGUCCCACUCAGCAGGAGGGUUUCCCGCCAGUGCGCACACACACACACACACACACACACACACACACACACACAGCAGCUUUCCCCCGUUGAGCUGCCACUUCCUCACAGAUGGAUGAACACCGUAAACGACUGAAUGGUGGAACCCACCUUCCUGCACCAUCUCCUGACCACACAACGCACCGUCAUGCUGUCCUUCCGGGGACCUCCUAACGUCCAUCCCUCAUCUCUCACUGCUUCCAUGUUAUCGCGCAGUCCCUCCCUUUGAUCUCCCCCUGAAUGGACCAGGCUGUUCCUCUAACUGCUUACCUAACACACCUGUAAUCACCAUGGGUACAAGCCCCGGCUUGGCAGGCUGGCAAGGAGGGAGCACCGGUACGCGGCACGCCUUUGCUAAACAAAUGCCUCAGCCUCACCUUCCAGCGGGUACAAGCGGUGAACUCGGAGCUGGGAGGGGAGAUAAUAUGCUUCCAUCCACACUCCAUUACCAGAAGUGCUGCAGAAGGGGUUUUUUGUUUUAGAAAAGUUUGGAUUUGGAGCGUCCAGUCCAAAGUGAGAGGUGGAGACCCUUAAGAGAGGUGGUCCUCAAGCUCUGUUGGGUCAACCAACAAGCAGUGGGUCUCAUGGGUUGGCAAAAAUGAAACUAAGUGUCGGAGCAGCGCGCUGAAGACAUUUGCUGCUGGGUCAGUGACGAGGGGAAAAAAACAAACACAAUAGUGUUCAUUGUCAUCAGCUGUGAGAAGCACUGUAGGUCUUAAAUUACCUAUUGCUUAGGAUCCCUUAAGGGCAAGCAAAGCAAAUCUCCCACACCUAGUUUUUCCAUGCAUGUACUCAACCUGGAUCAUCUGCCGACCAUUUAAACCUCACGUUAUCUGAUCACAGUGGUUCUUUAUGGGGACAAUUUUCUUCAUUUUAAAGACUGAUCUGAUAGUUUCCUUGUAUUGAAGCAAAGGCAGUAAACUAAUCAGACCGCACCUUCAAUUAAAUGUACUGAGAUCCUUAAACGUCGAUGAAUCAAUCUUGGGGACUUUUUAAAAGUCCACUAAACUUUAUUCUAUUAUUUUCCACGCUAAAACAUGGGGCCCAAUUCAAACAUAUACAAGGGUAUAAAAAAAAGCACUUUUCUGACCAAACUCUAAAGGCUAUAAAGACAGAAAAAAACCCAAAAUGUUUCUCCUACCUUAACGAACUUGUACGAGGCAGAAGGUUCGGUUCACCCUCUCUCCAUUUGAAGCGUCUCCCUGCUGCGUCCUUUUCUCUCCAACUCAAAACUUUCCGCGUCCGGAGGGAAACUUCAGGUGAACCAUUUCCUUGAAAAAGGCAGUUGAAGGGAAGCGAUUGGAGGUCGGGAUGUGAUCGCGCCCGCCGGGUUCGAGCCCCGUUGUGCCGUGUGGACGUGGGCUGGACUGACGUCUCCCACUGCUGUCGGGCUGUGCGGACACUCCGGUGGACCGGCGAGGGGGAAGUGGGGGAAAAGAUUGCCGUCGACGCGCGUCCCCAACCUGGAGGAGGCAGCGCGCGCACAGUGAGGAACUUAAGAAGCAUCAUGCAAAAUGUCAAACAAAUUAAAUUCAGGGCAGCUGAGCUCAAGAAGCUAUUAAAAG
Molecule: long non-coding RNA, 2533 nt
Organism: Gasterosteus aculeatus aculeatus (three-spined stickleback)
Lineage: Eukaryota; Metazoa; Chordata; Actinopteri; Perciformes; Gasterosteidae
Source: Ensembl